RNAcentral lists this ribosomal RNA (253 nucleotides) under uncultured bacterium. Its description in RNAcentral is "partial 16S ribosomal RNA". It matches the Rfam family "Bacterial small subunit ribosomal RNA", at positions 524 to 776 of the family's 1533-position model. The record is from RNAcentral.
UACAGAGGGAGCUAGCGUUGUUCGGAAUUACUGGGCGUAAAGCGCGCGCAGGCGGCCAUUUAAGUCAGAUGUGAAAGCCCGGGGCUUAACCUCGGAACUGCAUUUGAAACUGAGUGGCUAGAGUAUGGUAGGGGAGAGGGGAAUUCCUAGUGUAGCGGUGAAAUGCGUAGAGAUUAGGAGGAACACCAGUGGCGAAGGCGCCUCUCUGGGCCAUUACUGACGCUGAGGCGCGAAAGCGUGGGGAGCAAACAGG